RNAcentral lists this ribosomal RNA (432 nucleotides) under Parananochromis brevirostris. Its description in RNAcentral is "partial 16S ribosomal RNA". It matches the Rfam family "Bacterial large subunit ribosomal RNA", at positions 1969 to 2551 of the family's 2925-position model. Lineage: Eukaryota; Metazoa; Chordata; Actinopteri; Cichliformes; Cichlidae. The record is from RNAcentral.
UUGUCUUUUAAAUGAAGACCCGUAUGAAUGGCAUAACGAGGGCUUAACUGUCUCCUUUUUCCAGUCCAUGAAAUUGAUCUUCCCGUGCAGAAGCGGGAAUAAUAGCAUAAGACGAGAAGACCCUAUGGAGCUUUAGACACCAGAAUAGCCCCCCAAGUAACCCCUCCCCAAAAGGUGUAAGCAACCAGUUCCUAUUCCAAUGUCUUUGGUUGGGGCGACCGCGAGGAAACAAAAAACCCCCGCGUGGAACGAGAAUACUUAUUCCCACAACCCAGAGUUACAACUCAAAGUAACAGAACUUCUGACCAUACAAGAUCCGGCACUAACCGAUCAACGAACCGAGUUACCCUAGGGAUAACAGCGCAAUCCUUUUCUAGAGUUCAUAUCGACAAGAGGGUUUACGACCUCGAUGUUGGAUCAGGACAUCCUAAU